This 591-nucleotide ribosomal RNA is filed under the name Rhodotorula glutinis. RNAcentral's name for it is "partial large subunit ribosomal RNA". It matches the Rfam family "Eukaryotic large subunit ribosomal RNA", at positions 65 to 668 of the family's 3401-position model. The record is from RNAcentral. Lineage: Eukaryota; Fungi; Basidiomycota; Microbotryomycetes; Sporidiobolales; Sporidiobolaceae.
CAAAAAUGUAUCCCCCUAGUAGCGGCGAGCGAAGCGGGAAGAGCUCAAAUUUAUAAUCUGGCACCUUCGGUGUCCGAGUUGUAAUCUCUAGAAGUGUUUUCCGCGUUGGACCGCACACAAGUCUGUUGGAAUACAGCGGCAUAGUGGUGAAACCCCCGUAUAUGGUGCGGACGCCCAGCGCUUUGUGAUACACUUUCAAUGAGUCGAGUUGUUUGGGAAUGCAGCUCAAAUUGGGUGGUAAAUUCCAUCUAAAGCUAAAUAUUGGCGAGAGACCGAUAGCGAACAAGUACCGUGAGGGAAAGAUGAAAAGCACUUUGGAAAGAGAGUUAACAGUACGUGAAAUUGUUGGAAGGGAAACGCUUGAAGUCAGACUUGCUUGCCGGAGCUUGCUUCGGUUUGCAGGCCAGCAUCAGUUUUCCGGGGUGGAUAAUGACGGUUUGAAGGUAGCAGUCUCGGCUGUGUUAUAGCUUUCCGUUGGAUACAUCCUGGGGGACUGAGGAACGCAGCGUGCUUUUUGCGAAAGACUCGUCUUUUUCACGCUUAGGAUGCUGGUGGAAUGGCUUUAAACGACCCGUCUUGAAACACGGACCA